UCCUCUUGCCCUUUUCUUUCCCCCUUUAGUCUACUGUAUGCUUUGCAAUGAGAAACAUCAUCUAAUCUUGAAGGAAUGGGUCAAAGCCCUGAUCCUUAUGCUUUUACUAAUAAGGAAGCCAGUUCUGCAACCCUACAAAUAAAAUAUUUGCGUUGUCCUGUGGAACUUAAAACUGGUAUGGACUAAGUGCAGUCCCUGCACCUGCAGGCAACCAUAUAGUGGCUAUCUCGUCCAGCUGAAUGCUUGUUUCACACAUAACCUAGUGCCAUAAACUGAGACAUCUCAACAUCCUUUAACAAAUUAAAAAUUUUACUGCAAAAGCAUGAAGACAAGUCUCAAAAAAAAGGCCUCCUGUAAAAAAAAAUGACAUUAAGAGCUUUUCUGUGCUACUUACUGUAGGGGCAAUUCGUACUGCCAUCUGGUUUAGGCAAAAAAUUCUGAUCUCACAUCCACUGAUAACUUUAAACGUAGGUGUAGGAGCAAAAGGUAUCAGCCAGACACCUAUGAAGAUUUUCAGUACUUGAGCAGCACAACAGCACACUGCCAACCAUCAGAAGCUUAGAAGUAACACAGUAAAAAUAUGAGACAAAUAGUAUCAACCUCCAGAAGAGACUAGGAGGGAAACCUGCUCAUUGAACAGAGUCUGACACCCAGGACUUCAUAAUGCUGCAGAUUCUACUAUAAUACCUCAGUAUCUUCCUGUAGGAUAUAUGCUAAGGAGCCAUACCAUCUCUACCUUGUAUUCUUCCUACAAGGCUCACCAGCAGAGCAGAAAAGCAGACCGUUUGUUGGCAGCAGGGAAAUAUGAAGAAGCAAUUUCUUGUCACAAAAAAGCUGCUGCAUACCUUACAGAUGCCAUGAAGCUGACCCAGUCAGAGCAGGCUCAGCUAUCACUGGAAUUACAAAGGGAUAGUCACAUGAAACAGUUACUGCUCAUCCAGGAGAGGUGGAAAAGGGCAAAGAGGGAGGAAAAGCUGAAAGCCCAGCAGAAUGCUGACAAGGAAAUAGCUGCACAUCUUCAGACUUCUUAUAAGCCAUCUGCUGAAGACUCUGAUGAUCAAAACGUAUUGGUUCCUGUUACUCAGAAAUACAGCCCUUCCACAGAGAAACAUCCGCAGGAUAUUCAGGGUGUCUUUGACAGGGACCCGGAUACACUAUUAUUUCUGUUUCAGAGAAAAAAGGAGCCGGUAGAAGCAUGUAUUGGGAGCAAAGCUCCAAAAGAUGACAAAACAAUAAUAGAAGAGCAGGCAACCAAAAUUGCAGAUUUGAAACAGCAUAUAGAAAUUCUUAUAGCUGAAAAUGAGAGAUUAAGGAGAGAAAAUAAGCAGUUAAAAGCAGAAAGAGCUAGACUCCAAAAAUCCCCAGUAGACAAGGAGUUGGAUGUAGAUGCUGACUUUGUCGAGAAGUCAGAGUUGUGGGGUCUGCAGCAACACUCGGAAACUACUUCUUCAGCUGCAACUUGGCAGAAGUUUGCAACAACUGCUGGGAAGGCAAAGGACAUUCCAAUACCCAGCCUUCCCCCCCUGGACAUCCCGUCCCCUGAACUCCCUCUGCUGGAACUCUCCGAAGAUAUUCUGAAAGGACUGAUGAAUAGUUAAAAACCAAGAAGAGUGCUCAGUGUAGUUACCCAAACUUCAGAAAAGGGAAAACCGCCGGGACAAUGGCGAUCUGAGGGCAGAAACAUCUAACACAAUCCUACUGUUGGAGAAAAGGCAUUAAAGCAACUUUGUUACUGUGAAAUACACACCAUAUCUGAUCUACUUCAUAAAAGUUAAAGAGCGCCAAAGCAUCAGAGGAAGCAGCAUGAAGCGUUUGCCUGGGGACAGGCUACCCGGAGCCAAGCGAACCGCGCCACCAGAGCUGUGCACACCGUUCAGGGUAUUGGUUUCUGACACGCUCAGCUGGUGCCCUGCCCCGGAGCGUUAGCCAGCCCUCCCCCUGCACUGGGGUGGUACCUGAAUCCAGGCUUUCCGAGGGGGAGGGUGUUGCAAUGUGUUGUGGAGGCAUUAGUUAACUUUAGGGGUUACUGAUUAAUGAAAAGCGUUAAGUGUUGCAAGCUAUCCCAAUUUAAGUUAUUCUUGUGCUGUUAUAAGGUAAACUUGCUUUCUAAGGGUACAUUUUUCUUCCAGAAUAGACUUGGAAGUGUAGGAAGAACAUUUUACUGCGGUGCAAAUUCGCCCCUUACCUCUGUAUACCUGGUGUCUCCUGUGCUUGCUGGAAGGAGGGUAGGGACUGGAGGCUAGAAAAAGCCUAUGGAAACAAAGGUAAGACGAGUUUGUUAGAGGAGGUCCCUUGUGCUGAAUUGUAGCCAGAAACUAAUCUUGCUGGGGAAAUAAAAGUUAUUUUUCAGUUGGAGCAGUUCAGCACAUGGCCCCACAGAACAGCUGUGAUGAGGUAACCUGUUCCAGGUCAGCCCCAGUACACUGCUCCCAAAAAAGGGCAAGUUACAUCCUCCACCAUCACCUGCCUGGCUGGCUGUUACAGGUAACGAGGCAGUGGAGCGUAAUGUUUCUAUUCAUGUGAGUAAAGCAAAAAAAAAAAGGUAUGUGCUCACAGUAGGAAAUGAAAUUAUUUGUGCGCCUAUCUCAUGUCACUGCCAGGGAUGAUAGCCCAGGGCUGUUAGCUAGAGACACAUUUCAGCUGUCUCUGCGAACAGCAGCUGUAGGAGAAGGAAGCAAUUUUUAGCCUGGCUACCUCUGCUGAAGAGUCAGGAUUCUUCAGAGGGGUAGUAGGGGAAUUACAAGCUCUAUCUUCUGUUUUUAAGACUAAACUGUCCCUUCAUAUAUAGCUGCAUAAACAAAACACCAGAUCCAAAGGAGGCCGCUUCUCUGUAGGGAGAUAGCCAAGUAGGGGCAAUACUCCACGCUGCUACUUUUGAAAGUGGUGGUAAAAUUUUUCUCUCUCCUGCAACGCAAGUGUUUUUUCUUGCAGUCUGCUUACUCAACACAUGAUGGCUGCUGAAAUCAAACUCCAGGCAGCAUGGCUCAGCAUGAGAGUUUUCCACUCCCAUGAGUGAUGCAGAGGAGAAUGGGUGCAACAUUCCCUUUAAUAGGAUAGGAGUGCUGAGCUGCAGCCCAAGCACUGCUAGUAUUACACAAGCCCCAUGAAGGUGAUGUGGAAAGCUGAGUAUUUUUCUGUGUAAUACAGAGCCUGUCCUAGAGCUGGAGCAGGUGAUGCCAGUAAAGAGUCAGACCACGUCCUGGUGAACAAUGCAGGUGCUCCUGCUGGAAGGAGAGCCCUGGCACCACCAGCCUCUUCUUUCCCUCCCUUCCACACAGCAGCACAGCCCACCAGCCAUGAAGCCUACAGCAAGACAGGCAUGUGGGAGCAGAUAGGGUCACCCCUUUCGGCAGCAAUGUGGGACACCCUACAGCUGAGAAUCCAUUGAAUAAUGACUUUUCUGUAUAGAAGCUAAGUGUAUGAAAUAAGAUGAAAUAUUUUAAUUUCUCCAAGAAAGGAAUUCUUCAGUCUGAAUUCAGAGCUAAGUGAUUACACAGUCCAUCUAAAGAACUAAAGGUUGUAUAGAGAAUACUCACCACUAGAGGACAAGUUUUAUAUAGUGGUGAAUCUAAGGAAAGUCUUCUCCAGUGUCUGUCAGCAAUUAGUUUAUCCCCCAACAAUUCAAAACAGUUUUAAAUUAUUAUUGCCUUUCAGCUCGUUUGAGUUCUGGCAUCAUGAAAUGAUAAAAAGAAACAGUUUUCCCUCCCUAUGCCUCCAGGUUAGUUGGCAUUAUUGUUUCUGCACCUCUUCCAUGCUCCCUUCCUCCCACUGACAGCAAUCUUCUCCCUUCUCCCUGAUGGAGGUACCAGCCCCGCGGGAGGCAGAGCACCCACCCGACUGCCGCUUUCCCCUGGGUUGCCCGGACCACCGCCUGGUGGAACCCCCUGCCCUGUUCGGCUCCUGCUCCAGCACCACCCCCUCCCUCUGCUGACAGUGUCGUGUUCCUGCCAUCAUCACAGCAACCAGCUUAUCCCCCACAGCCUUUCCAGGAUAACAAAAAGGCGCAGUAUCUGAAUAUUAUGCAGAAAGGAACCAAUUUUGCAGGAACAACAAAGUGGUGAGUUCUUGGUGGUCACACAGCGUAACCAAAGCCUGGCACACAGCACGUGGAAAGAUUCCCAUGGGCGGGGAGUCUGAUCUGCACUGUUUUAUACUGGACAGAACUAAAAACUUCUGUGGUCCAUUAUUUCAAAGUGUCUCACCAAGAACCAAUUUUAAACAUGUGUCCAGACACUGACUUCUAUUCAUAGACUUUGCUUUACCACAGAGACCGCUCUUGUCUUGGAACACAGAAACAUUAUCCCUGUUGAAUAUAGCCAACAUAUGCUUUGCAAAAAGAAAUUGCAAUUACCCAGUCUCUGGCUGUAUCUCUGCAGAAGGAUAAACCAAGGAAAGGCAACUGGGAAGCAACGUGGAGUCUCCUGAGAAUAAAAUCUGCAGACUGCACCACCAGUUGCUACUUACAGUGACAGCUAAAACCAAAAUAUAGAAGUGUUGGGUUUUACAUUUUGGUUUUAUAUAAAGGGAAAAGAGGAUCUUGUGACCUCUUCCUCUGAGAGUGUUUCCAUUUUCAGGAGCUCUGGCCUUGAACUCCUUCCCACUCUCCUGCCAGCAGCAGCUCUUCAGCCAUCGGCAGUUCCUGUUGAACUUCUUUCAGUGGUGGGGACUACACCUCAUCCAGGCUCCCUUUCCCACGGAAGGUUGGCCCAGGUGAUCUUUUGAGGUCCCUUCCAACCUGGGCUGUUGUAUGGCACUGCGAAAGCAGGCUUGCUGGCAAAAGAGAAGGAGAAAGACAAGCACAGCCCCAACAGCUGAUAAAAUCCCUUACUGAAUUGGACUAAAAAUACAGCGGGAAACAAAAUCAAUCGGUCAAAGUCUUCACAAGUAAUCAGAGUGGUAGUGUGGCUGCCACAAGUCGGGUAUAGGCUGGACAGUAUUUGCCAGACCUCUCUGCCUGAGUAUGCAGCCCGCGGAGUUCAACUGUAUGAAAAGAUGUUCAUUGCUCCCUAAAGACUCAGUGCUACGUCCAGCUUUUCCUCCACCUCUUCUCUCCCAUGUCCAUUUUACCAGGAGUAACCUAAACUUACCCAGGCUUUUUGUCUUGUAAUCACUUGAAGUGUUCCCUCAGGCCCAUUUGCUACAGGAGUUAAGGUAUUAUCGACAUCAAACAAUAUGAAAUCCUUAGAGCUGUGAAAAUACAGGAUUUCCUGCCUCUCAGAACUGCUAAACCCUAUUCUUUAAUUCCACUAAGGAAGCACAGGGCUACAAUAAAACCACAUGCCCAGGGACUGGAAAAAGAAACAGGCAUCUGUGUCAAGAAUAUAUUGUAUUAGUGUGGUUGGGAGGGACCAGAAAUGUUUGCUUUGAAACAUAACAGUAAAAAAUCCCUCAGUCUACCACUUAGCUUUAGAAAGACCCAUGUUCAAAAUGCAACUGUUUGCACGCAACACAUCAGGUAAAAUUUGUCUUCGAUUGGCUGUGAGGCAAGAUUUUCCUACCAGCUAUAUAUAGAUCGCAACUUCCUUUUCAAAACCUGCGAGACCAAAUGAAAGCAGUGCAGAGGUUGGAUUGUGUGUGCUGCCACCGCUACAGAUCAUUUGCUCCUCGCUCAGAGUUUCCUAGGUCGCCCUGCUGAGAUGGAAAGAAAGGGACGUGGCGGUGGACGCUGCAUCCAAGAAGCCCCCAUGCCACCGAGUGCUCCUCUGCCCUCCUGGGGCACGCGUAUCAUGGGAACGCAAAGGCAGAGAAGGAAAAGCGGCCCUCCUGCUAACAAAGCGCGAGUCAAAAGGUGGAAGGCAGGAGCACAGCAGAGAGCUGACAUUGUCUGAGGCAGAGCCGGGGGUUAGGAGGGGAAAGCAGCGCGAAGCCGUACUCCGGGAGACUCAACAGGGAGAGGCAGCUCGUCCAGCACGGAUGUGGGGGAGAGCACAAACAUCCUGCUCAGGAAAGCAGCCCAACAGGGCGAUGGUGGCUGUGGAAGGAGGAAGGAAGGGAAAUUCCCAGUUAGGGGUGCAGGGCAGGGAAGGCCGUCAGCUGUGAGAGCAGGAGAGGGCUUGACAGGAUGUCACGGGAGAGGGUACGAACAAAAUUACCACCUACCGAAGAGGUCAGGGAGCAUGAGAACGUAGUGCUGAUCCGAUGGGGGUUCGGUUUACACACACAGAGCUGAGCAAUUUCCAUGAAGCUGGAAGAGUACAAUAAAUAGCUUUUAAUAUCCCCCUACGCCUGACCUGCCUAAUGGGGACCAGGGUUUCACUGCCGGCAUGUCCAGCAGUCCCACAACUCCUGUGUCAGCUAAACCAUAUAUGCAGUCAUGCAUCCGUGCUGAAAUACUUCAGGUCAUAGCAGCCCCGCUUUAUUCCUUGCUAAUUACUUACUCUUCCUUAGUUACCCCUGCAGUUACAACAGGAAGAAAAUUGCCAUGGCCACUUCCUGUAGGGCAGCGCAGUGGAUGGAGGUGGUGACAAGGA
Molecule: RNA transcript, 6470 nt
Organism: Egretta garzetta (little egret)
Lineage: Eukaryota; Metazoa; Chordata; Aves; Pelecaniformes; Ardeidae
Gene: NRBF2
Gene name: nuclear receptor binding factor 2
Exons: 5
Source: RefSeq, a predicted model, not a curated record